UUGACCUCGAAUCAGGUAGGAAUACCCGCUGAACUUAAGCAUAUCAAUAAGCGGAGGAAAAGAAACCAACAGGGAUUGCCCCAGUAACGGCGAGUGAAGCGGCAACAGCUCAAAUUUGAAAUCUGGCCCCCCGGGGCCCGAGUUGUAAUUUGCAGAGGAUGCUUUUGGCGAGGCGCCUUCCGAGUUCCCUGGAACGGGACGCCAUAGAGGGUGAGAGCCCCGUCUGGUUGGACGCCGAGCCUCUGUAAAGCUCCUUCGACGAGUCGAGUAGUUUGGGAAUGCUGCUCUAAAUGGGAGGUAUAUGUCUUCUAAAGCUAAAUACCGGCCAGAGACCGAUAGCGCACAAGUAGAGUGAUCGAAAGAUGAAAAGCACUUUGAAAAGAGGGUUAAAUAGUACGUGAAAUUGUUGAAAGGGAAGCGCUUGUGACCAGACUUGGGCCCGGCGGAUCACCCAGCGUUCUCGCUGGUGCACUCCGGCGCGGCCCAGGCCAGCAUCAGCUCGUCCCGGGGGACAAAGGCGGCGGGAAUGUGGCUCCUCCGGGAGUGUUAUAGCCCACCGCGCAAUGCCCUGGGGCGGGCUGAGGACCGCGCAUCUGCAUGGAUGCUGGCGUAAUGGUCAUCAGCGACCCGUCUUGAAACACGGACCAA
RNAcentral lists this ribosomal RNA (648 nucleotides) under Claviceps pusilla. RNAcentral's name for it is "eukaryotic LSU rRNA". It matches the Rfam family "Eukaryotic large subunit ribosomal RNA", at positions 1 to 669 of the family's 3401-position model. Lineage: Eukaryota; Fungi; Ascomycota; Sordariomycetes; Hypocreales; Clavicipitaceae. The record is from RNAcentral.